AGAGUUUGAUCCUGGCUCAGAUUGAACGCUGGCGGCAGGCCUAACACAUGCAAGUCGAACGGUAACAUUUCUAGCUUGCUAGAAGAUGACGAGUGGCGGACGGGUGAGUAAUGCUUGGGAACUUGCCUUUGCGAGGGGGAUAACAGUUGGAAACGACUGCUAAUACCGCAUAAUGUCUACGGACCAAACGGGGCUUAGGCUCCGGCGCAAAGAGAGGCCCAAGUGAGAUUAGCUAGUUGGUAAGGUAAUGGCUUACCAAGGCAACGAUCUCUAGCUGUUCUGAGAGGAAGAUCAGCCACACUGGAACUGAGACACGGUCCAGACUCCUACGGGAGGCAGCAGUGGGGAAUAUUGCACAAUGGGGGAAACCCUGAUGCAGCCAUGCCGCGUGUGUGAAGAAGGCCUUCGGGUUGCAAAGCACUUUCAGUUGUGAGGAAAAGUUAGUAGUUAAUACCUGCUAGCCGUGACGUUAACAACAGAAGAAGCACCGGCUAACUCCGUGCCAGCAGCCGCGGUAAUACGGAGGGUGCGAGCGUUAAUCGGAAUUACUGGGCGUAAAGCGCACGCAGGCGGUUUGUUAAGCUAGAUGUGAAAGCCCCGGGCUCAACCUGGGAUAGUCAUUUAGAACUGGCAGACUAGAGUCUUGGAGAGGGGAGUGGAAUUCCAGGUGUAGCGGUGAAAUGCGUAGAUAUCUGGAGGAACAUCAGUGGCGAAGG
RNAcentral lists this ribosomal RNA (716 nucleotides) under uncultured marine microorganism. RNAcentral's name for it is "bacterial SSU rRNA". It matches the Rfam family "Bacterial small subunit ribosomal RNA", at positions 8 to 721 of the family's 1533-position model. The record is from RNAcentral.